RNAcentral lists this ribosomal RNA (305 nucleotides) under uncultured bacterium. RNAcentral describes it as "bacterial SSU rRNA". It matches the Rfam family "Bacterial small subunit ribosomal RNA", at positions 335 to 658 of the family's 1533-position model. The record is from RNAcentral.
UGCCUACGGGACGCAGCAGUGGGGGAUAUUGCACAAUGGGGGGAACCCUGAUGCAGCGACGCCGCGUGGGUGAAGAAGCGCCUCGGCGCGUAAAGCCCUGUCAGCAGGGAAGAAAAUGACGGUACCUGACCAAGAAGCCCCGGCUAACUACGUGCCAGCAGCCGCGGUAAUACGUAGGGGGCAAGCGUUAUCCGGAAUUACUGGGUGUAAAGGGAGCGUAGACGGCUGUGCAAGUCUGGAGUGAAAGGCGGGGGCCCAACCCCCGGACUGCUCUGGAAACUGUAUGGCUGGAGUGCAGGAGAGGG